UGGGAGUCAAUACAUGUUCCUAGCUGGUAC
Molecule: non-coding RNA, 30 nt
Filed under: Rattus norvegicus (Norway rat)
Lineage: Eukaryota; Metazoa; Chordata; Mammalia; Rodentia; Muridae
Source: RNAcentral